RNAcentral lists this RNase P RNA (359 nucleotides) under human gut metagenome. RNAcentral describes it as "Bacterial RNase P class A". It matches the Rfam family "Bacterial RNase P class A". From Rfam's summary of the family: Ribonuclease P (RNase P) is a ubiquitous endoribonuclease, found in archaea, bacteria and eukarya as well as chloroplasts and mitochondria. Its best characterised activity is the generation of mature 5'-ends of tRNAs by cleaving the 5'-leader elements of precursor-tRNAs. Cellular RNase Ps are ribonucleoproteins. The record is from RNAcentral.
AAGCUAUGUGACCGCAUACGGCGGUGCCCGUAUGAGGAAAGUCCGAGCUCCACAGGGCAGGGUGCCGGAUAACGUCCGGUGGAGGCGACUCCAAGGAAAGUGCAACAGAAAUAAACCGCCCCAAACGAUGAAGAGCGAAAAUACCGCUUUUCAGCGUUUGGGGCAAGGAUGGAAAGGCGAGGUAAGAGCUCACCGGCGGCAUGGCGACUUGUCCGCCCUGUAAACCCCACCCGGAGCAAGAUUGAAUUGGGAGCAUUUAAUGGCGGCCCGCCACGCUCCUUGUAAUCGCUAGAGCCUGUUGGCAACUUCAGGCCAAGAUAGAUGGUCACACUUAGACAGAACUCGGCUUACGGCUUGCU